This is a long non-coding RNA of Bombus terrestris (buff-tailed bumblebee), 3739 nucleotides long. RefSeq lists it as uncharacterized. The record is from RefSeq and is a predicted model, not a curated record. The transcript is spliced from 3 exons. Lineage: Eukaryota; Metazoa; Arthropoda; Insecta; Hymenoptera; Apidae.
AAUGCCUAAUGAGCUAUCAAUAUCCCAACGGUCCUUCCGCCGAAUGUUCGAAAAGAAGGCGUGCGUAGUAACGGUCGCGAACGCCUAACGCGUGGAUAGUGGGGAUAUUGAGGAGUGACAAAGGAAAAAGAAAUAGAUCCGAUCGAAAGUCAAAUUGUAAGAGCUUCAGUCUUGGAAAGUCACGGCUAGAGUUCAGAAGCAAAUCGUAAUUAGUAUAAACCAAGUGUUAAAAAAAUAAAUUUUCUUUUUAUUUUUUCUAUAUUUUAUUUUUCUUUUCAUCUUCGAUUUCUUUUUCUUAUUUUACGUGACAAUCGCGCCGUAGCAGUCGUUUCGUAUCGCACAAUCAUCCGCACUAAGCAUUCAUAAGUUUCUUCUCAGCCAUCAAGCACAAUUUGAAACCUCAUUGUUUGGAGAAGUCUAACCUUUGUUGUCGUUGAUCGUUCUUCGCACAUUCAACCGUUUUUCUCUACACUUACACUCUAGUGAAUCAGUUAUCCGAGGUUAAUUCGGCGAAUAACAAGCCAUACAACGCAGUGCCAUCGAUAUCGGACAUGUGCACGUAACAAGCGCACGGUACAAAAGGAUUGGAAGAAACAGAUGUUUCGCGGAGUAAAUGAAAAAGUAUAAAAUCAAAGCAGCUACAUGAUUUCAACUACUACAAAAAGAAAGAUUGAAGAGACCGAGAGCUCGCGCGAACGUUUGUUCGGCAGGGAAACGACGAGGACUAAUAGCACAGAUGAGGUUGUAAUGAAUUCUAGGAUUUCUUUGAUCAAUGAGAUACACGCAGAUUUAGCAUAUUAUUACUAUGCAAAAACAAGCCUAGAGCAUUCGAAAGGAAGAAGAAAUACUGAUCGAAAAAAUGUUCUGGAUAUUCGUCGUAAAUCGAAGCAAUGGCUCUGGACCGAUCGUUCAUCGUGACAUGGAAACGAUGAAGAAUAAUGGCGAUGGGAUGGAAAAGUAAUAAUAAAACGUUCGCAAACACCGUGGUCGGCUUAUCAGCUUUAUUUAUUGCCACGGGAAGCCGCAGUCAGCGGCGUUUUCCAAGCUUUUCCAGAGCUUAACUCGACCGUGGCCACGUGGUUGCUUUCGAAACCCGGACGAAAGUCGUCACGAAAUUUUACCUCCAUCGACAUGGAGAAACGAGUUCUCGACACGCCAACCCAGUGUGCUGACCGUUCAAGUUCGAUAGUUUAACUGCUGACUAGUUUCUUAAAGGAUUUUAAGGUUUUAAUUCCUUUUCCUUCCUUUCUUAUCGGUUUUUACCGGUUUUAUAUUGCAACCAUUGGAAGAUCGUUAGGAAUAAUUGUUAUGAGAUGGAGGAUGCUUGUGAAGGGAAACCCAAAAAUUGGCCGUUACUUUAUGUUAUGAAGCAUUAAGAACAUUCUUUAUACCUUGGUUCUAAUGGUUUGAGAAAAUUAAUCUUUGCAGUAGUUACAAAAAAAAAAAAAACAUUACCACGUUUCCUUAUUUUUAAAUGAAACAAGUUUUCACCAGGUUUUACGUUUGAUUUUCAUAGUAUCAAAUUAUUGUAGUGAUAUGAAAGUAUUACCAAAUGAUAUUUGGGACUAAAUAAAUUAUAAAAUGUCAAUGUUGUUGAGGUGGAUAGGUCGUGAUAGUGUGGCUGCCUGUACGGCUGGCUGUAGAGGCAGAGAUAAGUUCUGCUGCUGGUGUAGAUGCCACUGCUGGGGUACUGUUACAUUUUCUUCUUAUUUAAGAAUCGUGGAAAGAUAGAUCGGACUACAGUCGCUGGCGGGAUUUGAACCCGGAUCCCGAACUUUCGUAACAUAAGGCGCUAACCACUGCGCUGCCGUCGUCCAACACUAGUUGGUGUCGUCCGGUGGUAUUUCAUGUCAAUUGCCGCCACAUUGUAUUUAUUUAGAAUUAAUAAAUCUAUAUAUUUAGAAUUAUAAAAUAAAAUAUCAUUCUCAUUAGAAGCUAAUCAUACAAUUACAGAUAAAUUUUAUUUCAUUUCUAAACAAUAAAAUAAAACGUUGUAAUGAUUUCUAUGGACGUUUCAGUUCCACAGAUAUUUUAUUACCAAGGAAUAGUCCAAUCUGAAAAGGAACGGUGUUGUAUAACUUUUGCAUCUACUUGAUGAAAACGCAGAGAAUUCUUCUAAACAUAGUUUAUCAUACUUUUAUUUUCCAGAUCUCUUAUUCGCCUUUUAAAAUCUCUGUUAUAGUUACCAUACAGUCAAUAAAACAUCGGCGAAUAGUUAGGCGACAAACAGAAAUUUCGAAACUCGUUGGCGAUGGAAAGCGUUUGGCCUCGAACUCUGGGAAAACAAGUCGCGUACAAGGGACGUUGUGAUUACGAUGAAUAGCUGACGACCAUAAAUUGUAUCUCGUUGCAGCGACAAACAACGAUUCUCGCGCGUGCACCCAAUUCUUGUACCCCGGUGACCCGUUCAUUCGUCCGAUUUUUAUCGAUUCGUCGGCGCAUCAAUUAGCGCUAUUAUCGUUUCGUUACAGCUGUCCUUCCAUCGAUUCCCUUUUUUUCUACUCAACUUCCCUUUUCGUUCUUCUACCUUUUCCCCUUCGUUUAUUUGUCCCUCGCGCGUCGUCGAUAAAUCGCGGAGCUCUCAAUUCAAUCAGCGGAACGGACUUCUCGUCUUUCCCUCUCCCUCAAAUCUGUCCGGCCCUCUCUUUUCGUUCGCGUUUUAAGUUCACUCGAAGGUUUAUUUUACAGAUUCGAGUGCUCGCCGAUAAUCCCGUCGCAUUGGAUUAUACUACUAGCCGGGCAGACGCUUUUUAAUUAAUCGUACCUCUAGCUGAGAACUUUUUUGGACGCUGAAAGAUCGAUGUAAACUUAGCAAGACUACCGUACGCUAAAAGUUUCAGGCGUUUCACAUUAAGCAACUUGCAAAUCUUGCCCUAUUUUUCUAAAAGAGAUUAUUACAGGGAAUUGUUAUAAAGAAUAAAAUUGUUUUUGAUGUUUAUAAUUAAAUUGCAUGCUGCCAGGGGUAAGCAAAUGUCUACGUAGAGUUCUGAGUGGCAGUGUAUAAUUCUAUAUAUUAAUAAUAUUCCAAAAAAAAAAAAAAAAUGAAUUUGUUCUGACUUCGGGUCUUAUGGAAUUCUAAAUUAAGCCCUUCGUUCGCAUACCCUCGUAUCGAUGAAACGAAUCGACACGAAUUUUCAGUCGUGUAUUACUCAGUCGAAAACGUUUUAUCGACUUAUAGUGAAAUUUUGACUAGUACGUGAAUUCACGUUGAUAACGGAUAAACAUUCAAGUGCGUGUGACAGUUUGAGAACGGACUAUUAAUUGAAAGUCUCGAUGAGCAUCGACUCCUUUUCCACCAUGUUCCCUCCUCCGAAAAAUAAUUUCGCCCUGAAAAUCGGCCGUCACCCGUUUAUCAUUCCGUUUCGAUUAUUGUUUUCUGGAUUUUUCAUGGUCGUAGCUUGGACACCGUUUCGUUCCAUCUAUUAUCUACAUCUCUGUUUGUUACGUUGGAAGCUAAAUCGAAAUGGUGGAAUUUAACCGAUUUUAAUGGUAUACGUCGAAACGAAAUGGAAAAAGCGUCGGGUCCCAUUUCUGUGAUAUUUCACCGAAUAAUUUACAAGCAGAGAUGCAGUUAGUUCAGGGGAUUGUCACGACCGGCUCAGUUCAAAACCGGAGAUAAAGAUGUGGCGGCACUCGGCAACAAUAUAUUUCGGCGAAGCGAGGUGCCUAAUGAAACAUCAAUGUCCUAACGGUCCUUCUAUCGAAUAUUCAAGAAGAAGGCGUGCGUGGCAACGGUCAC